Molecule: ribosomal RNA, 995 nt
Filed under: uncultured Gammaproteobacteria bacterium
Lineage: Bacteria; Pseudomonadati; Pseudomonadota; Gammaproteobacteria
Description: bacterial SSU rRNA
Rfam family: Bacterial small subunit ribosomal RNA
Source: RNAcentral
CAGCCGCCGCGGUAAUACGGAGGUGGCGAGCGUUGUUCGGAAUUACUGGGCGUAAAGCGUACGUAGGCGGAUAUUUAGGUCAGAUGUGAAAGCCCCGGGCUCAACCUGGGAACUGCAUUUGAAACUGGAUAUCUAGAGUUUGGUAGAGGCGGGUAGAAUUCCUAGUGUAGCGGUGAAAUGCGUAGAUAUUAGGAGGAAUACCAGUGGCGAAGGCGGCCCGCUGGACCAAAACUGACGCUGAGGUACGAAAGCGUGGGGAGCAAACGGGAUUAGAUACCCCGGUAGUCCACGCCGUAAACGAUGUCAACUAGUCGUUGGAUUCUUCGGGAUUUAGUGACGCAGCUAACGCGUGAAGUUGACCGCCUGGGGAGUACGGCCGCAAGGCUAAAACUCAAAUGAAUUGACGGGGGCCCGCACAAGCGGUGGAGCAUGUGGUUUAAUUCGAUGCAACGCGAAGAACCUUACCUACCCUUGACAUCAUCAGAACUUGUUAGAGAUAACUCGGUGCCUUCGGGAACUGAAUGACAGGUGCUGCAUGGCUGUCGUCAGCUCGUGUCGUGAGAUGUUGGGUUAAGUCCCGCAACGAGCGCAACCCUUGUCCUUAGUUGCCAGCACGUAAUGGUGGGAACUCUAAGGAGACUGCCGGUGAUAAACCGGAGGAAGGUGGGGAUGACGUCAAGUCAUCAUGGCCCUUAUGGGUAGGGCUACACACGUGCUACAAUGGUACAUACAGAGGGCAGCGACCUCGCGAGAGCAAGCAAAUCCCACAAAGUGUAUCGUAGUCCGGAUUGGAGUCUGCAACUCGACUCCAUGAAGUCGGAAUCGCUAGUAAUCGUGAAUCAGAAUGUCACGGUGAAUACGUUCCCGGGCCUUGUACACACCGCCCGUCACACCAUGGGAGUGGGCUGCAAAAGAAGUAGGUAGUUUAACCUUCGGGAGAACGCUUACCACUUUGUGGUUCAUGACUGGGGUGAAGUCGUAACAAGGUAACCGUA